Molecule: ribosomal RNA, 253 nt
Filed under: uncultured bacterium
Lineage: Bacteria
Description: partial 16S ribosomal RNA
Rfam family: Bacterial small subunit ribosomal RNA
Source: RNAcentral
UACGUAGGGUGCGAGCGUUGUCCGGAAUUACUGGGCGUAAAGCGUGCGCAGGCGGUUCGUUAUGUCCGAUGUGAAAGCCCCGAGCUCAACUUGGGAAUGGCAUUGGAAACUGGCGGGCUGGAGUGUGGCAGAGGGGGGUGGAAUUCCACGUGUAGCAGUGAAAUGCGUAGAGAUGUGGAGGAACACCGAUGGCGAAGGCAGCCCCCUGGGCCAGCACUGACGCUCAGGCACGAAAGCGUGGGGAGCAAACAGG